Molecule: long non-coding RNA, 250 nt
Filed under: Elaeis guineensis (African oil palm)
Lineage: Eukaryota; Viridiplantae; Streptophyta; Magnoliopsida; Arecales; Arecaceae
Description: long non-coding RNA (EGUI_LNC027344)
Source: RNAcentral
GGUUUACCCCCACAAUCGGUGGAGGGGGCUAUGGAGGUGCCUCCGACUGUUGAGCCAGAGCCUGAUUUUUGAUCGAAUUUUCAAUCGAUCGGCCUGUCAUGGCAUUGGAACGCCUUGAGAAUAUUCUUCACGGCAAUAUAAUGAUGGAUUGCGUACUCCCUCCCAAAAAUAGGGCUCAUCCCUCCUUUUAGUAUCAAUCUAUUGCCGUAGAUUUUUGACUCGGAUCAGAGUUACUGGAGUGAGGUAGCAU